UUUGCCCUACGGGAGGCAGCAGUGGGGAAUAUUGCACAAUGGGGGAAACCCUGAUGCAGCGACGCCGCGUGAGUGAAGAAGUAUUUCGGUAUGUACAGCUCUAUCAGCAGGGAAGAUAAUGACGGUACCUGAGUAAGAAGCCCCGGCUAACUACGUGCCAGCAGCCGCGGUAAUACGUAGGGGGCAAGCGUUAUCCGGAUUUACUGGGUGUAAAGGGAGCGUAGACGGCAGCGCAAGUCUGGAGUGAAAUGCCGGGGCCCAACCCCGGCCCGCCGUUGAAACUGGCAGUCUCGAGUUGGAGAGAG
Molecule: ribosomal RNA, 305 nt
Filed under: uncultured bacterium
Lineage: Bacteria
Description: bacterial SSU rRNA
Rfam family: Bacterial small subunit ribosomal RNA
Source: RNAcentral